This 255-nucleotide ribosomal RNA is filed under the name uncultured bacterium. RNAcentral's name for it is "partial 16S ribosomal RNA". It matches the Rfam family "Bacterial small subunit ribosomal RNA", at positions 524 to 777 of the family's 1533-position model. The record is from RNAcentral.
UACGGAGGGUGCAAGCGUUAUCCGGAUUCACUGGGUUUAAAGGGUGCGUAGGUGGGUUGGUAAGUCAGUGGUGAAAUCUCCGAGCUUAACUUGGAAACUGCCAUUGAUACUAUCAGUCUUGAAUAUUUGUGGAGGUCAGCGGAAUAAUGUCAUGUAGCGGUGAAAUGCUUAGAUAUGACAUAGAACACCAAUUGCGAAGGCAGCUGCUCGCAAUAUAUUGACACUGAGGCACGAAAGCGUGGGGAUCAAACAGGG